AAUGAACGAUGGCGGCAUGGAUUAGGCAUGCAAGUCGAGCGAGAAGGGUUUUGAAGCUUGCUUUGAAACCCGGAAAGCGGCGCAAGGGAGAGUAACGAGUAGUUAUCUACCCCAAGGCCCGGAAUAGCUGCGGGAAACUGCAGGUAAUGCCGGAUAAUAUCCCCGGAUCAAAGGUGUGAUUCCUCCUGGGGAGGAGACUGCUUUGUACUAGCAAGUUGGUAGGGUAAUGGCCUACCAAGGCUACGAUGCAUAGCGGGCGUGAGAGCGUGGCCCGUCUCACUGGGACUGAAACACUGCCCAGACACCUACGGGUGGCUGCAGUCGAGAAUCUUCGGCAAUGGGCGAAAGCCUGACCGAGCGAUGCCGCGUGCGGGAUGAAGGCCCUCGGGUUGUAAACCGCUGUCGUAGAGGAGAAAGGUCUGAUGAAGAAUCAGAUUUGAUCUAUUCUAGGAGGAAGUCCGGGCUAAUUUCGUGCCAGCCGCCGCGGUAA
This 490-nucleotide ribosomal RNA is filed under the name uncultured bacterium. Its description in RNAcentral is "partial 16S ribosomal RNA". It matches the Rfam family "Bacterial small subunit ribosomal RNA", at positions 29 to 523 of the family's 1533-position model. The record is from RNAcentral.